This 1162-nucleotide long non-coding RNA is filed under the name Solanum tuberosum (potato). RNAcentral's name for it is "long non-coding RNA (STUB_LNC000645)". The record is from RNAcentral. Lineage: Eukaryota; Viridiplantae; Streptophyta; Magnoliopsida; Solanales; Solanaceae.
ACAUCUCUUGUAUGGUUAAUCUUGCUAUUACCGCCUGUUGUUCUAUUUAUCGAAUAGGUUUAACAUACCAGAUUUGCUAUUUUUUCCCCUAAAUGCAGUAUAUUUUGUCAAAAGCUGAACUAUAAACUAAGAACGUUUUGUUGUUGUUCCCUGGAUUAAAGCUAAUUCUUUGGGUCCUUAUUUGAAUGUGAACAAGUCCUUCAAGUUCUUAAAUUCAGCUCUAUUUUGUCAAGUACUGCAUUAUAAAGUGGCUGUUGCUAUUCUGCUAUUUCAAAAUACUUAACAAUUUACUCCCUCCAAAACACCUUUUGCAUUAGUGCGACAUUUUUUUCAAGUGAAUCCAAAAUUUGUCAUUAUUAGUUACUCAGUGCUCAUCUCUAUGAUAUAUCAUAGCUUAUAACAACUAACUACAUUCUCAGUGCUCAUUAUUUUGUUUACCGUCAGAUGAUACAGUUUGAAUUUUAUCCUCAACCAACAUGGCCUCAUCUCUAUGAUAUAUCAUAGCUUGUAACAACUAACUACAUUCAACUUUAUAGUGACAGACUAUGUUGUGGGGGUCAGUUGAAUUGCAUUGAGAUAAUGCCAGCCUACUCCAUUUUUUAAGGAGAUGCCCUUUGGUGUGAAGACUCAUACUUCCACAAAUCUGACACAAUUUUUUGCUUCUUAUGGCCUCAUCUUUCGAAGAGUCCGGAGGAACUGAAUGAAUUUCCCAUGUGUACUGCAAACAUCUUUUGCCAUUGUUUAAUUCAAUAGGUGAAAUUUUGGUGUGUGCCCCAAUUGCACAUGUCCAAUCAAAUACAUGUAUUGAUAACAUGUGUAAGUGAUAAACUUCUUAAGCAUCGUCUCUUGCCUAUUCUGGUUACAUUAGAGGAAAUAUUUGAAUUGUAGUGUUUGUAACUAUAUGACCUCUAUAUAAGUAGAUAAAUCAACAAAACUUUGCGCUAAAAUAUGGAUGUUGCUCUUACAAAAAAUAAUAAUAUUAUCAAUGGAACAUGUUGGGCCGUGCAGAGCACGGCUUUCCUUAUCUAGUUUCUAUUAUUUAGAAGCAUGAUGACGACCAACGACCAGUGGCAAAAAGGAUAAUAAAUCAAAUAUACAAGGGCAAAUUAUAACUACUAUACUAAAAUUUAUUGAUAUUCGUGCACUCAUGCUCAGAAGUCAG